CACGUAGGGGGCAAGCGUUGUCCGGAUUCAUUGGGCGUAAAGAGCUCGUAGGCGGCUCAGCAAGUCGGGUGUGAAACCUCCAGGCUCAACCUGGAGACGCCACUCGAUACUGCUGUGGCUAGAGUCCAGUAGGGGAGCGUGGAAUUCCUGGUGUAGCGGUGAAAUGCGCAGAUAUCAGGAGGAACACCAGCGGCGAAGGCGGCGCUCUGGGCUGGAACUGACGCUGAGGAGCGAAAGCGUGGGGAGCAAACAGG
RNAcentral lists this ribosomal RNA (254 nucleotides) under uncultured bacterium. RNAcentral describes it as "partial 16S ribosomal RNA". It matches the Rfam family "Bacterial small subunit ribosomal RNA", at positions 524 to 776 of the family's 1533-position model. The record is from RNAcentral.